CGGCAGAGCGUGUGGUCCAGGUCGAAGCCCAUCACCUCGCACUCGGCCAGGGAGAAGUGCCGCGGCAUCGCGGAGCGGGCGCGGCCCCGCCGCCGCCGCCGCCGCCGGGCUCUCUUUUAGUUACUCCUUUGCUGGAGGAUCGCACUGGUACCCCGAGCUGGAGGGGCCCUGGCCCAGGCGAGGACAGCGGCUGCCUGCGAGGGCAGGGGCACCACAGUUUCCUAGUAAAAGCUGGAGUUUCAGGUCUCCACUUGAUUUAGCUUGUAAUCCAUGAAGAUGUUCAAUACACAGGAAGGUGGAAGAGUAUCUUGGUCCAGUGUUCCCAUCCUGCACUAACAGUGGCAUUGGCAUUCCAGGCUCCCUGUCACCACUAAAGCGUGCCUGACUCUCCUUAUGGACUAACUCUCUGCUCUUCACAGCACAAAUCCCCAUUUGAGGGCUAUGACUUCAGUCUUGGACUGGCAAAAGGAGGUAUCAGUCAUCCUUUGGACUUUUCACCUUGCCUUGAUGGAAUUCCAGUUUCCGAAGGUAAAGAUGCAAAACCAUGCUCAGAAGUCAUCCACGGCAUAGCAGGCAGAAGUUGAUAGAGUUAUGUGAGAAAUGAGCUUGUCCCAUCCUGAAGUCUCCACAAAAAGAUACACUCCAAAUCUCCAUAACAGGAUCAGUUUCAGAAGAGACUUGCUUAGAAGAAUGGCAGAAUCAUCUUCACUGAGAAUUCUUUGAUCAUCCACUUAUCAUAUUUUUCCUACCCAGAGAUAGAUUUGAUCAGAAAUAUUUAUCAUGCCUUAGAAAACUACAGAAUGAUUUUAUUCAGAAUGCCUGAUUCAGAGAAAACAAAUUACCUUACAGUUUUUAACACUAUGGGCUAUAUGUUAUUUAGAAUAAUGUAUGAUAAAAAGAAAAAUAAUGACUUCAGUCAGGUCCCGUUGAAGAUAACAGCAAAACUUGCAUUUAACUUAGGAAGAGUGAGAUCUGAUUGUUUGAAAAAACAGAAAAAGUCACAUAUAUUAGCUCACUUCUUGGCAGAAUCUAAUUCCUCUCUGUUCAUUUGUUGCCAGACAUAGCUUGUUUUAGCCCCCAGUUCGGGAAAUAAAUAAGCAACCCUCAUCACUAAAGCACUUGAAAAUGUACUUUUAAUGCUUUCUAGAGCAGAGAUAGAUUACUGGAUCAGCCUUAUGAAAAUAAACAACCAGAUUUUUUCUCAUUACAAAUGCACACAACUUAAAACUGGAAAAUACAGGAUCAAAUCUAACCUUAUGUCUUUGUAGAUUUAUGGUUUAAGAUCAUACCCAAAAGAAGAACAUGAUUAAUCAAUAAGGAUAAACAGUUUUGUCGAGAGUAAAAUUACAUACAUAAUUUAUUUUCAUUGAAAAGAAGGGCAAUUUGCAAAUUAUAGAAACAAAAUGGAAGGGCUGAUUAAAAGGAUUAUAAAAAAGCUACAAAGUAGUGGUAAUGUGUUUCAUUCUAACACGCAAAUUAAAAGAAAUAUUGCUGAAAAGACAGCUAUAAUAAACGCCCCCCGUGCUUCAUUUCUAUUUAUUGUUUUAACAACCAACACAACUUUAAAAAUUUUAAUCGCUUAAAUUAUUUACCACACACACA
Rhea pennata is the source of this 1602-nucleotide long non-coding RNA. RefSeq lists it as uncharacterized. Lineage: Eukaryota; Metazoa; Chordata; Aves; Rheiformes; Rheidae. The record is from RefSeq and is a predicted model, not a curated record. The transcript has 4 exons.